This is a long non-coding RNA of Macadamia integrifolia, 954 nucleotides long. RefSeq lists it as uncharacterized. The record is from RefSeq and is a predicted model, not a curated record. NCBI's taxonomy places the organism in Eukaryota, Viridiplantae, Streptophyta, Magnoliopsida, Proteales, Proteaceae. The transcript is spliced from 2 exons.
GUGGGACACCGUAGACCGCUAACACAUAACCACUCCACGUUUUUUAACGAGAGAGAGAGAGAGAGAGAGAGAGAGAGAGAGAGAGAGAGAGAGAGAGAAUAGCAAUUGAUCGAAGAGAGUGAUUAAGGUUACAGGUGCUUAUUCAGGGAGGAACUUUGUGUUUCUCGUAUCUGAAGAUUUGGAUAGAGGAGUAACAAUAUUUGGUUUUUUCUUAUUCUGAGAUCCCCUGACGAAUUGAGAAAUGGACAAAGAACAAGAACUGAAGUGGCUUGAAGCUUAGAAGAUUGUAAUAAACAAGGAUGUUGUGGUUGUAGCCAAACAACAACUAUAGUUUCUUGCAACUGUUGAUCGUAGUUGUUGCCUCUACGAAGGCCUUGUUCUUUCAUAGUCACUUGAACUGUUAUUUAUAUAUGUUGACACUUCAUAGUUGUACUUGAGGUUUCAAUUGGAAAGGACUUGGAAAGAGCAAAUGACAUUCCCAUAGGUGGACAUUCAUUAUUAGAGAAAUGUAUCAACAGUUCAAUCCAUUCCAUUUGUUUAAACAAAAUGUAUCAUGGAAAAGUAGAUUUAUUCAUAGAUGAGCCCUUGCCUAUAUAAACUAGAGAGAAGAAAAAGAACAACUACAAGCAUCGACAGAUUCCUCCUCUCCCCUCUUUUGCUUCUCCUUUUCUGGAAGCUUCUUCUUUCCAUGAUGAUUCUGGGAUGUCAGAUAUGUGGACCAUUGAUCUAGUGACUCUCUUCUUCCUCUCUGAACAUUUGUACUUGAAGUUUUAGCAAUCUAUGUCUCUAUAGAUGGGAGUGGAAGUUUUGAUCAUUGAUUUGUUGAACAAGGACAAUAUUUGUAAUGUUUAGAUAAACUCUUCCUUUCCGCUGAAGACCUUUCUUUGUUCAGUUGUUCUUUUAUAGACUUAUUUCCUUAAUAAAAAAGAUAUAAAAAUCUUAUUCUUUCAGUUA